GCGGAGGAUCACAUCUGUAGCACUGGUUAACGGUUACGGCUCAGGGCGCGGCCAAGUCUGUCUCAAGUCUGCCUGCCACGGAGCUGUGUGCACAUGAGCGCAGGAUCACAUCUGUAGCACUGGUAAGCUAACCGUUUAUUUUCUUCAAACUUCAAUUAUAACACGGUGUGUUGUCAGGACAAUACUAACUUCUGUUUGUGAUUGAGUGCAUUUUGCAGCAAAACGUUUAUGUUCUGCAUUGCAUAAGUGUUUUUUCAAAUGUGUUGGCGCGAACUGCAAGCAAACAACGGUGUGUUGUCAGGACAAUACUAGCUUCUGUUUGUGAUUGAGUGCAUUUUGCAGUCAUAGUUAUAACUUCUACUGACCGGGAGUUAAUUUAAAUAGUCUGGUAACGUUAUUGAAGUAUCAUGCUAAAAGCUGAACUCUUUAUUUUCGUUUAAUUCAUGCUGUUGUGAAGUGGGGGGUUUGAAGCUACAUCUGAGGGGGUUCAAAGUUAACUGGCAGUCUACUUUUUUUCUGUUCUUUCUGCCACUUCUUUCUCUCUUUUCUGUCUAAUUUGAGACGUUUAUGUUGCACAAUGUUUUUUGUUACUGUAAGCUCGUAAAGGGCUAGUUUGGAUGCUUAUGGAUACUUAUCCAUAGUCAGUGUAUUACUUGCAUGUCUUUGGAGGAACAGGCAGGAGUACGGGUACGUAUGUAAAGCUGUGGAUGGGUGCAGCAGCGAAACGUAUUUUAGCCACCUAAAAAUUCAGUUUACGUGUACGCUAUAUUUAUAAUAUUGUCACAAAUGUACCCUGCUGCUUCAGUCCCUAUCAGAAACAGACUGUAUAGCUGUCUGACAGCAAGGUAGAGCUUUGAAAAUAUUCUUUAAUAUAGCAUACACUAAGAGUAAUAUUGUUUUAGUUUUUUUGGUGGCUUAACUAUGUCCACAGCAGUGCAUUGCUUAGCUGUCUGCUGGUUCUCCUCUCUGUUUCUCCAAACUGUAGCUCCUACAACCCCCCUUCAAACAAUAUGAACUAUCCCCUAAAAGCAAGUCAAAUUGACAUUACAUUUAUCUCCCCUUAACCUGCAAAUACACAUACAUACAUUUUUGUAUUGAUGGUGAGCAAUUUAACAGACCUUAAAAUGUGUGCUAAAAUUGUUUUGUGAAAUAUUUCAGGAAGACAAGUCUUGUUUUAAUUUAGUUUGAAUUGUGUUUUUCUUCUUUUUUAGGACGAUCAUGCUAUUCUUCAAGGCGAUUCAUGCUGAGUGUGGAUCGAAACAUAGUACAGGACAACAUCCCCUCCUUGGUUUCUGCCCUGUCCAUGAUGUUUGGGAGCUAUUAUUGCUUCAACAUCGCCUACCCGUCAGAGCUGGCAUCCACCCUGGAGUUUGUCCAGAGGUGUUUUUUCUCCAUCAACCCAGAGAAGGGCACCAAAGUGGAGAAGACACGUGCAUCCCGUCUUCAGGUGAACCCGAGAGUCCUCACCUUGAUACAGGAACUUUCGGACCAUGAGUGGCGUGAUGUCUGAAUAUGGACAGUAAGAUCAAUGGCAUGUAGCGAUGUGCCCAAGUUAC
Trematomus bernacchii (emerald rockcod) is the source of this 1556-nucleotide long non-coding RNA. RefSeq lists it as uncharacterized. The transcript is spliced from 3 exons. Lineage: Eukaryota; Metazoa; Chordata; Actinopteri; Perciformes; Nototheniidae. The record is from RefSeq and is a predicted model, not a curated record.